GAUGAACGCUGGCGGCGUGCCUAAUACAUGCAAGUCGAGCGAACAGACGAGGAGCUUGCUCCUCUGACGUUAGCGGCGGACGGGUGAGUAACACGUGGAUAACCUACCUAUAAGACUGGGAUAACUUCGGGAAACCGGAGCUAAUACCGGAUAAUAUAUUGAACCGCAUGGUUCAAUAGUGAAAGACGGUUUUGCUGUCACUUAUAGAUGGAUCCGCGCCGCAUUAGCUAGUUGGUAAGGUAACGGCUUACCAAGGCAACGAUCCGUAGCCGACCUGAGAGCGUGCUUCCGCACUCUAGAAUGAUGACACCGCAGAGACUCCUCAGGGACUCAAUGGAAACAGACAUACCACCAUGAGCGAAAGCUUGACGGAGCAAACACGCCCAAGUGACGCAGGUCCUCGCAUCGUAAAAAUCUGUUAUAUGUGAAGAUCUUGUCUGUCCGUAACUAUGCACGUCUUGACCAUCCCCAACCAGAUAGCCACCGCCCACGACGUG
RNAcentral lists this ribosomal RNA (497 nucleotides) under uncultured bacterium. RNAcentral describes it as "partial 16S ribosomal RNA". It matches the Rfam family "Bacterial small subunit ribosomal RNA", at positions 28 to 507 of the family's 1533-position model. The record is from RNAcentral.